GGGGAUGUUUAUGGAUUCGACGGGUACCGUUCGAGUCCUGACUGCGUUUGAAGGUGGCGCUUGUUAAAACGCUCAGUUUUCUAAUUAUAACUGCAAACAAUAAUAAUUACUCUUACGCUGUUGCUGCCUAACAAGUAGCGCACGUAGAUCCGUCCGGGUUCGUCCAUGAUGCGGUAACGGGUUUCAUAUUUAGUGGACUUACGCUGAAUGCUCACGCUUGAAGCAUUGAGAAGAGAUUAUCAAGCUAGUCAGUCAUUGUUGCCUUGGUUAGCGGCGUUUUGGCUGGCGAAUUCCAAGUAGUUAACCUAUGAGCGUAGAUGUUGGGAUGGCGAGAUAUUCGGACAGGGGUUCGACUCCCCUCAUCUCCAU
RNAcentral lists this small RNA (369 nucleotides) under uncultured Limosilactobacillus sp. RNAcentral describes it as "transfer-messenger RNA". It matches the Rfam family "transfer-messenger RNA". From Rfam's summary of the family: Bacterial tmRNA, also known as 10Sa RNA or SsrA, is named for its dual tRNA and mRNA-like properties. Its role is to liberate the mRNA from a stalled ribosome. To accomplish this part of the tmRNA is used as a reading frame that ends in a translation stop signal. Lineage: Bacteria; Bacillati; Bacillota; Bacilli; Lactobacillales; Lactobacillaceae. The record is from RNAcentral.